AGCAUUGUGAAGAGAACAGAAUGUUGAAGUUAGGAAAAGAACUGAAGCCUGAAUUGAAGAGAUGAGCAGAUAACAGGAUUUAGUGGAGCACAUUGAGCAAAAUCAUCUUAGAAAUACAGAUGACGACAUUUUUAAGCAAAAACCAAGGAUAAAGGCUAAGGAAGAAGAAAUUCAGUGUGAGUACAAAGCUUAUGACAUGAUGUAUAAAGUGUUCAGAGACAAAAGGAAUCCAAGAGACUGGGAA
Molecule: long non-coding RNA, 244 nt
Filed under: Fukomys damarensis (Damara mole-rat)
Lineage: Eukaryota; Metazoa; Chordata; Mammalia; Rodentia; Bathyergidae
Description: lncRNA (ENSFDAG00000025772.1)
Source: RNAcentral